GCUUCCUUAGCUCAGCUGGUAGAGCGCAUCCAUGGUAAGGAUGAGGUCACCGGUUCAAAUCCGGUAGGAAGCUCCA
Molecule: transfer RNA, 76 nt
Filed under: Sinobaca qinghaiensis
Lineage: Bacteria; Bacillati; Bacillota; Bacilli; Caryophanales; Sporolactobacillaceae
Also listed under: 2 other names
Description: tRNA-Thr
Rfam family: tRNA
About the family: Transfer RNA (tRNA) molecules are approximately 80 nucleotides in length. Their secondary structure includes four short double-helical elements and three loops (D, anti-codon, and T loops).
Source: RNAcentral